Molecule: ribosomal RNA, 442 nt
Filed under: uncultured bacterium
Lineage: Bacteria
Description: partial 16S ribosomal RNA
Rfam family: Bacterial small subunit ribosomal RNA
Source: RNAcentral
CCUACGGGAGGCAGCAGUGGGGGAUAUUGCACAAUGGGGGAAACCCUGAUGCAGCGACGCCGCGUGGGCGAAGAAGGAUUUCGGUAUGUAACGUUCUAUCAACAGGGAAGAAGAAAUUACGGUACCUUGGUAAGAAGCACCAGCUAAAUACGUUCCAUCAGCCGCGGUAAAACAUAUGGUGCAAGCGUUAACCGGAUUUACUGGGGGUAAAGGGAGCGCAGGCGGCACGGGAAGCCAGAUGUGAAAGCCCUAGGCCUAACCGGGGGAUUGCAUUGGGAACUAUCGGGCUAGAGUUCCGGAGAGGAAAGCGGAAUUCCUAGUGUAGCGGUGAAAUGCGUAGAUAUUAGGAGGAACACCAGUGGCGAAGGCGGCUUACUGGACGGUGACUGACGCUGAGGCACGAAAGCGUGGGGAGCAAACAGGAUUAGAUACCCCGGUAGUC